RNAcentral lists this ribosomal RNA (275 nucleotides) under uncultured Caulobacterales bacterium. RNAcentral describes it as "partial 16S ribosomal RNA". It matches the Rfam family "Bacterial small subunit ribosomal RNA", at positions 505 to 779 of the family's 1533-position model. Lineage: Bacteria; Pseudomonadati; Pseudomonadota; Alphaproteobacteria; Caulobacterales. The record is from RNAcentral.
GUGCCAGCCGCCGCGGUAAUACGAAGGGGGCUAGCGUUGCUCGGAAUUACUGGGCGUAAAGGGAGCGUAGGCGGACAUUUAAGUCAGGGGUGAAAUCCCGGGGCUCAACCUCGGAAUUGCCUUUGAUACUGGGUGUCUUGAGUAUGAGAGAGGUGUGUGGAACUCCGAGUGUAGAGGUGAAAUUCGUAGAUAUUCGGAAGAACACCAGUGGCGAAGGCGACACACUGGCUCAUUACUGACGCUGAGGCUCGAAAGCGUGGGGAGCAAACAGGAUU